ACCCCAAUAGCUAGCCCAACCCCAAAAACCAACAAUCCUUGUCAAUAAACCCAAAAUCACAAAACCAAGUAAAUAAACCAUUCUUCCCCCUAAGUAUCUGCGAGAGAAAAGGAAACCCAGCGCUAUAGAAAAAGUACCGUAAGGGAAAGCUGAAAGAGAAAUGAAAUAAUUCAGUAAAGGACAGAGAAGCAGAGUUUAAACCUCGUACCUUUUGCAUCAUGAAUUAGUCAGCAUACCCCAAGCGAAGAGCCCUUUAUGUUUGGAACCCCGAAACUAAGCGAGCUACUCCAAGACAGCCUAUUAUAGGGCAAACCCGUCUCUGUGGCAAAAGAGUGGGAAGAGCUUUGAGUAGAGGUGACAGACCUACCGAGCUUAGUCAUAGCUGGUUGCCUGAGAAAUGAAUAGAAGUUCAGCCUUCUGACUUUUUUAACCAAACAAGGUCAUACCCCAACCCGGUCUUAAGAAGCCAAAAGAGUUAUUCAAAAGAGGGACAGCUCUUUUGAACAAAGACACAACUUUGUGAGCAGGCCAAAGAUCAUACUAACUAAGGCAAUGUACCCAGGUGGGCCUAAAAGCAGCCAUCCUAAUAAAAAGCGUUAAAGCUCAAGUAUAAAGCCCCUUUAAUUUUGACAAUUAUACUCUCCAGCCUCUCCCAAGUAUCAGGCCUCUCCAUGCACCCAUGGAGGAGACACUGCUAGUAUGAGUAAUAAGAGAACUAAGACUCUCUCGAGUGCACCUGUGUACAUCAGAACGAACCCACACUGACAAUUAACGCCCCCACCCAAAGAGGGGAGUGGGAGAACUCAAACAAACCUAGAAAUAUACCCACAACCUAGCGUUGACCCCACACAGGAGUGCCCCACGAAAGACAAAAGGAAAAAGAAGGAACUCGGCAAACACUGGCCUCGCCUGUUUACCAAAAACAUCGCCUCUUGCCAACCUAAUAUAAGAGGUCCCGCCUGCCCUGUGACUUAAGAGUUUAACGGCCGCGGUAUUUUGACCGUGCGAAGGUAGCGUAAUCACUUGUCUUUUAAAUGGAGACCAGUAUGAAUGGCAUAACGAGGGCUAAGCUGUCUCCUUUUUCCAGUCAAUGAAAUUGAUCUAUCCGUGCAGAAGCGGAUAUACCUACAUAAGACGAGAAGACCCUAUGGAGCUUUAGAUACCAGAAUAGCCCACGUUAAGCACCCUGCGAAAACAGGAAUAAACCAUGCGGCCACUAUUCUCAUAUCUUUGGUUGGGGCGACCGCGGAGUAACAAAAAACCCCCACGUGGAACAAGGCACCCCCUUUAAGGCCAGAGCCACAGCUCUAGCAAACAGAAUUUCUGACCAGCAAGAUCCGGCAUAGCCGAUCAACGGACCCAGUUACCCUAGGGAUAACAGCGCAAUCCCCUUUUAGAGCCCAUAUCGACAAGGGGGUUUACGACCUCGAUGUUGGAUCAGGACUUCCUAAUGGUGCAGCCGCUAUUAAGGGUUC
This 1475-nucleotide ribosomal RNA is filed under the name Signigobius biocellatus (twinspot goby). RNAcentral's name for it is "partial 16S ribosomal RNA". It matches the Rfam family "Bacterial large subunit ribosomal RNA", at positions 236 to 2574 of the family's 2925-position model. Lineage: Eukaryota; Metazoa; Chordata; Actinopteri; Gobiiformes; Gobiidae. The record is from RNAcentral.